Molecule: ribosomal RNA, 253 nt
Filed under: uncultured microorganism
Description: partial 16S ribosomal RNA
Rfam family: Bacterial small subunit ribosomal RNA
Source: RNAcentral
UACGGAGGGUGCGAGCGUUAUUCGGAAUCACUGGGCGUAAAGGGCGCGUAGGCGGCCUGGUAAGUCAGGGGUGAAAUCCCACGGCUCAACCUAGGAAUUGCGCUUGUGACUGGCAGGCUCGAGUACGGUAGAGGGGGGUGGAAUUCCUGGUGUAGCAGUGAAAUGCGUAGAGAUCAGGAGGAACACCGAUGGCGAAGGCAGCCCCCUGGGCCUGUACUGACGCUCAUGCACGAAAGCGUGGGGAGCAAACAGG